CGGGCUGCUCCAAACACUCUUUGAGCUUCACUUUCAGCCGAUUCUCUACAGUGAUCGAUUACUCUUCGAAUCUCUUCCAAACUUCUCCCAGCCACGAUCGACUUUACUCCGAACUCCUUCCGGGCUUCGUCGACGUCCGAGCUUCCCCAACAACAGGACUUCUGCGGUAACCAGACUCCAUCCAAGUUUCCACGGUGGUCGACCGCCUUCCAGAUUUCAUUCGGGCUAA
This 229-nucleotide long non-coding RNA is filed under the name Elaeis guineensis (African oil palm). Its description in RNAcentral is "long non-coding RNA (EGUI_LNC027592)". Lineage: Eukaryota; Viridiplantae; Streptophyta; Magnoliopsida; Arecales; Arecaceae. The record is from RNAcentral.